AUGUCCCCAACCUGCAGCCGCCUAUUGCUGCUUCUGUGCAUAUCUCUCUCUUGUAUCGCAGCCAUUAAACCUGGCGCGCAAGCACAAGAAGGCUGCUCGCCCGAGCGAUGCGGCAACCUGACCAUUUCUUCUCCGUUCGGGCUCGUCUCGGUGUUGGAGGAGAACAGGUGCGCUCAACUUGGUUUCCAGGUCCACUACACCAACGGCACCCCGUACCUUUGGUACUAUGAGCACGGGUUCGGGCUACAGAUCCUCAACAUAUUCUACAGCGACGGUUCCUUGCUCGUCGCCGAUGUCCACAAGCUAGGAGACUUCGAAAGUUCAAGCCAUGAAGGCUGCCAUGUACCGGUGACAAAUACCUCCUCCAAAAUCGGGCAUCCGUUCUCGAUUAGCAACAUGAAUCAGAACAUCAUCUUCUACAACUGCACCAAGGCGCCACCGUUGGAUAUCGUAAGGCGAGCAGGGCUUGUGGAGACGGUAUGCCGCAACAACACCUUUGUCCGCACAGGAGGGCAUUACAGUGAGAGGGACGGCGGCUAUGCUUUAGAGGGAUGCAAUGCUAUCUUCCUUCCGGUACUGGCAGCAUCCGGCGAGGCGAACGCAAGUGAUUAUGAGGGGCUAAUCACCAAUGGCUUCCUCCUGACAUGGCGGCAGCCGCCUGCUGGUAGUGGUAUCAAGGUGAUUAGCAAAAGGAUACUCAUACUAAUAGUUUCAUCAGCGGUUUCAACCUUGCUCUUUCCAUGCAUUUGUGUGAUGAUGAGGCAUCCCAAGGGGAAAAGACUAUGGUCUCGCAGCAAAAGGACUAGCAGCGGCACUGAAAGGAAUUACGAGGUCAUGAUAUUAUCAUAUGGAUCACUAGCCCCCAAAAGGUACACGUACUCAGAGGUAAUGAAGAUAACAUCUUCUCGCAAUCAUGAGCUUGGAAAGGGUGGUUAUGGUGUGGUUUUCAAAGGAAGACUACAUGAUGAUCGACUGGUUGCUGUGAAAUUCUUGCAUGACUGCAAAGGAAAUGGGGAUGAGUUUGUGAAUGAGGUUAUGAGCAUUGGGAGAACCUCUCAUGUUAAUAUUGUUAGCUUAUUUGGGUUUUGUUUGGAGGGAUCAAAACGAGCUCUUAUAUAUGAGUACAUGCCUAAUGGUUCCUUGGAUAGGUAUAUUUACUCAGAGAACCACAAAGAAAUUUUAGGAUGGGAGAGGCUGUAUGCUAUAGCAAUCGGGAUUGCUCGUGGCCUAGAAUACUUGCACCAUAGUUGUAAUACACGGAUCGUUCAUUUUGAUAUCAAGCCUCACAAUAUCCUUCUAGACAGGGAUUUUUGCCCAAAGAUUGCUGAUUUCGGUCUAGCUAAAUUGUGUCAUGCAAAGGAGAGCAAGCUAUCAAUGACAGGUGCUAGAGGAACAAUUGGGUUCAUUGCUCCAGAAGUUCACUCUCGGACAUUUGGAGUUGUUUCAACCAAGUCAGAUGUUUAUAGUUAUGGAAUGAUGUUGUUAGAGAUGGUUGGGGGCAGGAAAAAUGUGAAAUAG
This 1518-nucleotide ribosomal RNA is filed under the name Triticum aestivum (bread wheat). RNAcentral's name for it is "partial small subunit ribosomal RNA". The record is from RNAcentral. Lineage: Eukaryota; Viridiplantae; Streptophyta; Magnoliopsida; Poales; Poaceae.